Molecule: ribosomal RNA, 425 nt
Filed under: uncultured bacterium
Lineage: Bacteria
Description: partial 16S ribosomal RNA
Rfam family: Bacterial small subunit ribosomal RNA
Source: RNAcentral
GUGGGGAAUCUUCCGCAAUGGACGAAAGUCUGACGGAGCAACGCCGCGUGAAGGAAGAAGGUUUUCGGAUCGUAAACUUCUAUCCUUGGUGAAGAUAAUGACGGUAGCCAAGAAGGAAGCCCCGGCUAACUACGUGCCAGCAGCCGCGGUAAUACGUAGGGUGCAAGCGUUAAUCGGAAUUACUGGGCGUAAAGCGUGCGCAGGCGGUUUUGUAAGACAGAGGUGAAAUCCCCGGGCUCAACCUGGGAAUGGCGUUUGUGACGGCAAAGCUGGAGUGCGGCAGAGGGGGAUGGAAUUCCGCGUGUAGCAGUGAAAUGCGUAGAUAUGCGGAGGAACACCGAUGGCGAAGGCAAUCCCCUGGGCCUGCACUGACGCUCAUGCACGAAAGCGUGGGGAGCAAACAGGAUUAGAUACCCGAGUAGUCC